This 962-nucleotide long non-coding RNA is filed under the name Gossypium barbadense (sea-island cotton). Its description in RNAcentral is "long non-coding RNA (GBAR_LNC009150)". Lineage: Eukaryota; Viridiplantae; Streptophyta; Magnoliopsida; Malvales; Malvaceae. The record is from RNAcentral.
GAAAUUUCAAGGGUUCUCCAUAGCUAGGGUUUGUUUCAAGCUUCCAAGCUCCAUAAUCAAGAAAGACGUGGAAUCGACCUCAAUCGAGGAAAAGAAAAGAUUGUGGACUAAAUUGCAAAAUCUUUGUAUUUUGGUACCAAGGUAAGUUCAUGUGUAAAUAAUGUAGCAUAAUGGUUAUUUUUAAGUUAUUGAUGUUAAUUAUAUGUUAUGCUGAAUUUUAUUAUGAAAUGUAUGCUUUGUGGUUAAUUUCAAAUAAUAUGUAAAUUAUGUGAACUACUUGUUAAAUAUAAUUGUUACUGAGUAUUGAUUUCGGCAUUCUACGGAAGAUGGCAAUGAUAAGUGUUCGAGAAAAAUCCCGUUUGAACCUUAGGAAUAGAUUAGGAUACAAGUGACAUGUCACUAGGAUGGUUGAGCAUUCGAGCUCGUUGAGUUGAGUCCGAGUUCACUUAUGGAUGCGAAUGUCCGAACUCGUUGAGUUGAGUCCGAGUUCGUGAAAUGUAACUAGGCAUCCGAGCUCGUUGAGUUGAGUCCGAGUUCACUUAUGGAUGCGAACGCCCGAGCUCGUUGAGUUGAGUCCGAGUUCGCUUAUGGGUGGGUUACAUGAUUGCUUGAUUGUAUAUAUGGCACUUAUGUGCAAGAUAUCCAUGUAUCUGAAUUAUAUUCCGAUGUGUUCAACGGGUAAAGUCCUACUCAAAUGGAGGAAAAUUUCGAGAUGUAAAGAGACGUAUUGGUAAGUGAUAUGAAAUGGAUAUUUUGGACAGGUAUGUAUUUAAACCUCGGGUUGAGUAUUGAUACAACCACGAUAAGUUUUGGACAAGCCAGCUCAGGAGUCGGGAUAGGUCGAAGGCUCAGUCACACUAUCCGGAAGACUUUUGGUAAUGGCUUGUAAAUUUAAGUAUGGCAUGUAUAGCAAUAUACCUUUUUUGUGUAAAUGAUCUUAUGGUAUGGUGAUGGAAUGGUUG